UUGCCUACGGGAGGCAGCAGUGAGGAAUAUUGGUCAAUGGGCGCGAGCCUGAACCAGCCAAGUCGCGUGAGGGAUGACGGCCCUACGGGUUGUAAACCUCUUUUGUCGGGGAGCAAAUUCGGCCACGUGUGGCGGAGUCGAGAGUACCCGAAGAAAAAGCAUCGGCUAACUCCGUGCCAGCAGCCGCGGUAAUACGGAGGAUGCGAGCGUUAUCCGGACUUAUUGGGUUUAAAGGGUGCGUAGGCGGACUGUGAAGCCAG
This 260-nucleotide ribosomal RNA is filed under the name uncultured bacterium. RNAcentral's name for it is "partial 16S ribosomal RNA". It matches the Rfam family "Bacterial small subunit ribosomal RNA", at positions 335 to 591 of the family's 1533-position model. The record is from RNAcentral.